CGAUCGACGAGUUUGAUCAUGGCUCAGAAUCAACGCUGGCGGCGUGCCUCAGACAUGCAAGUCGAACGAUUAAAGCUCUCUUCGGAGAGUGUAUAGAGUGGCGCACGGGUGAGUAACACGUAAGUAAUCUACCCUCGAGUGGGGAAUAACAACCGGAAACGGUUGCUAAUACCGCAUAAUGCAGCGGCACCGCAAGGUGACAGUUGUUAAAGAUUUAUCGCUUGAGGAGGAGCUUGCGGCAGAUUAGCUAGUUGGUAGGGUAACGGCUUACCAAGGCUACGAUCUGUAACCGGUCUAAGAGGACGGUCGGUCACACUGACACUGAAUAACGGGUCAGACUCCUACGGGAGGCAGCAGUCGGGAAUUUUGGGCAAUGGGGGAAACCCUGACCCAGCAACGCCGCGUGAAGGAUGAAGUAUUUCGGUAUGUAAACUUCGAAAGAAUAGGAAGAAUUAAUGACGGUACUAUUUAUAAGGUCCGGCUAACUACGUG
This 492-nucleotide ribosomal RNA is filed under the name uncultured bacterium. Its description in RNAcentral is "bacterial SSU rRNA". It matches the Rfam family "Bacterial small subunit ribosomal RNA", at positions 1 to 507 of the family's 1533-position model. The record is from RNAcentral.